UUUAAUUAAAUUUAUAUUUUAUUUGAAUAAAUUAUUAAAUGUUAAAUCAUUAAAUUAAGAAAAUUUGGCGGUAUUUUUAAAAAUUAGAGGAAUUUGUAGUGUAAUUGAUGAUACACGAUAGGAAAUACUUAAAUUUAAAUUUAUGUAUUGCUGUUUAAUUUAUUUAUUAAGUAAAUUUUAAUUUUUUAGUUUAAAAAUUAAUUCAAGUCAAAAUGUAGUUUAUUUAAGAAUUUAUGAAUUACAUUUUUUUAUUAUAUUGGAAUAAAAUUUUUUAUAUUAUUAUGAAAGUGGAUUUAAUAGUAAUUUAAAUUAAUUGAUUUAUUUGAAUUUUUUUAAAAAUAAGU
This 344-nucleotide ribosomal RNA is filed under the name Mischocyttarus weyrauchi. Its description in RNAcentral is "partial 12S ribosomal RNA". The record is from RNAcentral. Lineage: Eukaryota; Metazoa; Arthropoda; Insecta; Hymenoptera; Vespidae.